This 1637-nucleotide long non-coding RNA is filed under the name Salmo salar (Atlantic salmon). RNAcentral's name for it is "lncRNA (ENSSSAG00000103850.1)". The record is from RNAcentral. Lineage: Eukaryota; Metazoa; Chordata; Actinopteri; Salmoniformes; Salmonidae.
AAUAGCUUGGUCAUCUUUGCCCCAGUGUGUCUGUUUCGUUGUGUCUGUGUGUCGGAGUUUGGGACUCUCAGUGGGGUGCACACUUCAAAGCAAUCAGGGGAACUCUACUACAACAACAACAACUGCUGGCUACUCCAAAUCAGUUUAAAUUCAAACUGGAUGUUCUGCUUUUUCCCUUUUUAAAUAACGUUGUGUGGAAACACAUUUUAUUGACUUAUUUCUAACCCGGCAAAAAAUAAAUAAAUAACCGUAAUAAAUACAAAAUAAAUAGUACAUUUAUCUGAUUCAUAGCAUAAUGUUUACAAAGGGGUUGUAAGAUAUUUCGUUUUUUCACAAUACAACAUUAGAUAAGGUAUGCUCGUCAUAUCAAGUCUCAUAGCUGUAUGUCACUGGGGUCUGAUGGGCUUGGAGUGGUCUUGUUCCAGUCAGCAAAUUUACCCUAAGCCAGAGAGGGGAUCUUCAGAGGAGGAGGUCUUCAUAGGAGGAGAUCUUUAGAGGAGGAGGUCUUCAUAGGAGGUCUUCAGAGGAGGUCUUCAGAGGAGGUCUUCAGAGGAGGUCUUCAGAGGAGGAGGUCUUCAUAGGAGGAGGUCUUCAUAGGAGGUCUUCAGAGGAGGUCUUUAGAGGAGGUCUUCAUCGGAGGAGAUCUUUAGAAGAGGAGGUCUUCAUAGGAGGUCUUCAGAGGAGGAGGUCUUCAGAGGAGGUCUUCAGAGGAGGAGGUCUUCAGAGGAGGAGGUCUUCAGAGGAGGAGGUCUUCAGAGGAGGAGGUCUUCAUAGGAGGAGGUCUUCAGAGGAGGAGGUCUUCAGAGGAGGAGGUCUUCAUAGGAGGAGGUCUUCAGAGGAGGAGGUCUUUAGAGGAGGAGGUCUUCAUAGGAGGAGGUCUUCAUAGGAGGAGGUCUUCAGAGGAGGAGGUCUUCAGAGGAGGAGGUCUUCAUAGGAGGAGGUCUUUAGAGGAGGAGGUCUUCAUAGGAGGAGGUCUUCAUAGGAGGAGGUCUUCAUAGGAGGAGGUCUUCAUAGGAGGAGGUCUUCAUAGGAGCAGGUCUUCAUAGGAGCAGGUCUUCAGAAGACUGUCUGUUGGCCUAACAGUUGGUGGGAAAUUAAAAUGACCUGCCAGGAUCAAAGGCCAUAAGAAAGCAUGACAAGAAUUUCCCAGGAUACAUUUCAAGGGCGGACAGACGGGACAGUGUAAAUCAUAAAAAAACAACACCAGGUUUUCAUUUAGUCCUAUCAUCACUCAGAUAGACGGAUUUCAGCUCAAAAGUGAGAGGAAAAGAGAAGAAGAAAUGUUUAAUGUUUAAAGUUUAAUGGGCUUGGUAUGUGUUGCAUUAUGGAUAAUGACCAGUGAGGCGAGUGGGGGCCCUUCGAGCGCUGGGAGCUGAGCUCUCUCUCUCUCUCUCUGCAGCCAAAGCAGGGUCCUAGCUGCUCUGUCCAGUCCUCCCGUGCCUCACACCUCUCUUCUGUCUCAUUCUUUCUCCCUCCUAUUCAACUGUUAUCUGGUGUGUUGGCAUUGGUGGUGUUGUUGAUGAUGAGCUGAAACUUUGUGGAUUAAAAUAUCUGUAGAUGUUUAUUUUAGUUAGAGAGCCACUAAAUCCAUACAGUAUAUCAUUUGAUGGUGUGAUUGGUGGACCCAGAAACUGGCA